Molecule: ribosomal RNA, 216 nt
Filed under: uncultured bacterium
Lineage: Bacteria
Description: partial 16S ribosomal RNA
Rfam family: Bacterial small subunit ribosomal RNA
Source: RNAcentral
UGGGAACGUGCCCUUCAGUUCGGAACAACCCAGGGAAACUUGGGCUAAUACCGGACACGUCCGUAAGGAGAAAGAUUUAUCGCCAAAGGAUCGGCCCGCGUCUGAUUAGCUAGUUGGUGAGGUAACGGCUCACCAAGGCGACGACGGGUAGCCGGCCUGAGAGGGUGACCGGCAACACUGGGACUGAGACACGGCCCAGACUCCUACGGGAGGCAG